Long non-coding RNA from Stegostoma tigrinum, 302 nucleotides. RefSeq lists it as uncharacterized. NCBI's taxonomy places the organism in Eukaryota, Metazoa, Chordata, Chondrichthyes, Orectolobiformes, Stegostomatidae. The transcript is spliced from 3 exons. The record is from RefSeq and is a predicted model, not a curated record.
CCUUGCCAUAGAACACUAUCGUCAUUUAAGAGAUAUUUAUUCAUCCUUUGCAUCUUUCGGAUUGUGUUUUGAAACAAAGCUAAAGAUUAAAAGUUAUGAACAACAAGGCUCCAGACCGUCUGCUGGAGUUUCCUGAAGGAGAGCGAGACAAAGAGGAAGUACCGUAAGAUCCAGCGCAGCAGGCGCAACUUCACACUUAAGCUAAGCACAGUAUAGUCCAUGCUUUGCUGCCAGGAAAUAACAGACGACAGUCACAGCUCGCCAGUACUCAAAUUUAUUGCUGAAACUGCACCAAAAUAGCC